Chelonoidis abingdonii (Abingdon island giant tortoise) is the source of this 170-nucleotide unclassified non-coding RNA. Lineage: Eukaryota; Metazoa; Chordata; Testudines; Testudinidae. The record is from Ensembl.
CUGGACGUCCCAGAAAGUGAAUAACUUGGUUUAACCAAAGAAUUGGUACAGCAGAGGCAGCAGCAAUGCAUGCUUCUCCACAUUACCCUGCCAACCUUCCUCAGCUGUGACUGGAAGGCUGUGUUGCCUGAGGUUCUACAGUUGCGGACUUAAUCAAAAAUCCCACAACU